AUUGAACGCUGGCGGCAGGCCUAACACAUGCAAGUCGAACGGUAACAGAGAGUAGCUUGCUACUUUGCUGACGAGUGGCGGACGGGUGAGUAAUGUCUGGGGAUCUGCCUGAUGGAGGGGGAUAACUACUGGAAACGGUAGCUAAUACUGCAUAAUGUCGCAAGACCAAAGCGGGGGACUUUCGGGCCUCGCACCAUCAGAUGAACCCAGAUGGGAUUAGCUAGUAGGUAGGGUAAUGGCUUACCUAGGCGACGAUCCCUAGCUGGUCUGAGAGGAUGACCAGCCACACUGGAACUGAGACACGGUCCAGACUCCUACGGGAGGCAGCAGUGGGGAAUAUUGCACAAUGGGCGCAAGCCUGAUGCAGCCAUGCCGCGUGUAUGAAGAAGGCCUUCGGGUUGUAAAGUACUUUCAGUCAGGAGGAAGGGUGUGAAAUUAAUACUUUCAUACAUUGACGUUACUGACAGAAGAAGCACCGGCUAACUCCGUGUCAGCAGCCGCCGUAA
This 506-nucleotide ribosomal RNA is filed under the name uncultured bacterium. Its description in RNAcentral is "partial 16S ribosomal RNA". It matches the Rfam family "Bacterial small subunit ribosomal RNA", at positions 30 to 523 of the family's 1533-position model. The record is from RNAcentral.